Molecule: ribosomal RNA, 492 nt
Filed under: uncultured bacterium
Lineage: Bacteria
Description: partial 16S ribosomal RNA
Rfam family: Bacterial small subunit ribosomal RNA
Source: RNAcentral
AGUGAACGCUGGCGGUAGGCCUAACACAUGCAAGUCGAACGGCAGCACAGUAAGAGCUUGCUCUUACGGGUGGCGAGUGGCGGACGGGUGAGGAAUACAUCGGAAUCUACUUUUUCGUGGGGGAUAACGUAGGGAAACUUACGCUAAUACCGCAUACGACCUACGGGUGAAAGCAGGGGAUCUUCGGACCUUGCGCGAUUGAAUGAGCCGAUGUCGGAUUAGCUAGUUGGCGGGGUAAAGGCCCACCAAGGCGACGAUCCGUAGCUGGUCUGAGAGGAUGAUCAGCCACACUGGAACUGAGACACGGUCCAGACUCCUACGGGAGGCAGCAGUGUGGAAUAUUGGACAAUGGGCGCAAGCCUGAUCCAGCCAUACCGCGUGGGUGAAGAAGGCCUUCGGGUUGUAAAGCCCUUUUGUUGGGAAAGAAAAGCAGCAGGUUAAUACCCCGCUGUUCUGACGGUACCCAAAGAAUAAGCACCGGCUAAUUUCGUG